AGAUUGAACGCUGGCGGCAGGCCUAACACAUGCAAGUCGAGCGGUAGAGAGGUGCUUGCACCUCUUGAGAGCGGCGGACGGGUGAGUAAUGCCUAGGAAUCUGCCUAGUGGUGGGGGAUAACGUUCGGAAACGGACGCUAAUACCGCAUACGUCCUACGGGAGAAAGCGGGGGACCUUCGGGCCUCGCGCCAUUAGAUGAGCCUAGGUCGGAUUAGCUAGUUGGUGAGGUAAUGGCUCACCAAGGCGACGAUCCGUAACUGGUCUGAGAGGAUGAUCAGUCACACUGGAACUGAGACACGGUCAGACUCCUACGGGAGCAGCAGUGGGAAUAUUGGACAAUGGGACGAAAGCCUGAUCCAGCCAAUGCCGCGUGUGUGAAGAGGUCGUCGGAUUGAAAGUCUACUUUAACGGUUGGAGGUAAGGUUGUAACUUAAGUACGUUGACAAACGUUUUGAACGUUACCGACUAGAACUUAA
RNAcentral lists this ribosomal RNA (477 nucleotides) under uncultured soil bacterium. Its description in RNAcentral is "bacterial SSU rRNA". It matches the Rfam family "Bacterial small subunit ribosomal RNA", at positions 26 to 508 of the family's 1533-position model. The record is from RNAcentral.